ACUCCGGUGGAUAGAGAUGGGCACGCGCAAGAUUAGAUAGUUGGUGAGGUAACGGCUCACCAAGUCGACGAUCUUUAGGGGGCCUGAGAGGGUGAUCCCCCACACUGGUACUGAGACACGGACCAGACUCCUACGGGAGGCAGCAGUGAGGAAUAUUGGACAAUGGGUGAAAGCCUGAUCCAGCCAUCCCGCGUGAAGGACGACGGCCCUAUGGGUUGUAAACUUCUUUUGUAUAGGGAUAAACCUUUCCACGAGUGGAAAGCUGAAGGUACUAUACGAAUAAGCACCGGCUAACUCCGUGCCAGCAGCCGCGGUAAUACGGAGGGUGCAAGCGUUAUCCGGAUUUAUUGGGUUUAAAGGGUCCGUAGGCUGAUUUGUAAGUCAGUGGUGAAAUCUCACAGCUUAACUGUGAAACUGCCAUUGAUACUGCAAGUCUUGAGUGUUGUUGAAGUAGCUGGAAUAAGUAGUGUAGCGGUGAAAUGCAUAGAUAUUACUUAGAACACCAAUUGCGAAGGCAGGUUACUAAGCAACAACUGACGCUGAUGGACGAAAGCGUGGGGAGCGAACAGGAUUAGAUACCCUGGUAGUCCACGCCGUAAACGAUGCUAACUCGUUUUUGGGGCGCAAGCUUCAGAGACUAAGCGAAAGUGAUAAGUUAGCCACCUGGGGAGUACGAACGCAAGUUUGAAACUCAAAGGAAUUGACGGGGGCCCGCACAAGCGGUGGAUUAUGUGGUUUAAUUCGAUGAUACGCGAGGAACCUUACCAAGGCUUAAAUGGGAAAUGACAGGCUUAGAAAUAGGCUUUUCUUCGGACAUUUUUCAAGGUGCUGCAUGGUUGUCGUCAGCUCGUGCCGUGAGGUGUUAGGUUAAGUCCUGCAACGAGCGCAACCCCUGUCACUAGUUGCCAUCAUUAAGUUGGGGACUCUAGUGAGACUGCCUACGCAAGUAGAGAGGAAGGUGGGGAUGACGUCAAAUCAUCACGGCCCUUACGCCUUGGGCCACACACGUAAUACAAUGGCCGGUACAGAGGGCAGCUACACAGCGAUGUGAUGCAAAUCUCGAAAGCCGGUCUCAGUUCGGAUUGGAGUCUGCAACUCGACUCUAUGAAGCUGGAAUCGCUAGUAAUCGCGCAUCAGCCAUGGCGCGGUGAAUACGUUCCCGGGCCUUGUACACACCGCCCGUCAAGCCAUGG
Molecule: ribosomal RNA, 1193 nt
Filed under: Chryseobacterium gallinarum
Lineage: Bacteria; Pseudomonadati; Bacteroidota; Flavobacteriia; Flavobacteriales; Weeksellaceae
Description: bacterial SSU rRNA
Rfam family: Bacterial small subunit ribosomal RNA
Source: RNAcentral